This 99-nucleotide ribosomal RNA is filed under the name Triticum aestivum (bread wheat). Its description in RNAcentral is "partial small subunit ribosomal RNA". The record is from RNAcentral. Lineage: Eukaryota; Viridiplantae; Streptophyta; Magnoliopsida; Poales; Poaceae.
AUGUAAAGAACAGGUUCCAAAUCACGAUCGAUUCCCUUUUCAAAACCUGCUGCAGCAGCUCGGGCUCUUCCUGCAUGCCAUAAAUGGCCCACAAAAAAG